Molecule: long non-coding RNA, 260 nt
Filed under: Columba livia (rock pigeon)
Lineage: Eukaryota; Metazoa; Chordata; Aves; Columbiformes; Columbidae
Description: partial uncharacterized LOC102084323
Source: RNAcentral
GCAACCCGCACCUGCAGCGCCAGCCCAGCCAGGGCGAGCGCCUGCCCCCCAAGGGGCUGGUGCUGCGCGGCCCCUCGGCCGACCUGCAGCCCUACCUGGUGCGCGACCUCAACAGCUCCAUCCCAGUCCCAGUGGUCCCUCCAUCCCGUGGUAUCUCCAUCCCUAUGGUGUCUGCAUCCUCGUGGUAGCUCCAUCCCUAUGGUCUCUCCAUCCCAUGCUCCAUUGACCUCCAGUCCUACAUGGUGCGGGGCCUCAACAGG